AUUGGACGCUGGCGGCGUGCUUAACACAUGCAAGUCGAUCGGUAACAGGUGUAGCAAUACAUGCUGACGAGAGGCGGACGGGUGAGUAAUGCUUGGGGAUCUGCCUAUUAGUGGGGGACAACCCGGGGAAACUCGGGCUAAUACCGCAUACGCUCUACGGAGGAAAGCCGGGGACCGCAAGGCCUGGCGCUAAUAGAUGAGCCCAAGUCGGAUUAGCUAGUUGGUAGGGAACGGCCUACCAAGGCGACAAUCCGUAGCUGGUCUGAGAGGACGACCAGCCACACCGGAACUGAGACACGGUCCGGACUCCUACGGGAGGCAGCAGUGGGGAAUAUUGGACAAUGGGGGCAACCCUGAUCCAGCGACGCCGCGUGGGUGAAGAAGGCCUGCGGGUUGUAAGCCCUUUCGGUGGGGAAGAAAAGUCUCGACCUAAUACGUCGGGACCUUGACGUAA
Molecule: ribosomal RNA, 454 nt
Filed under: uncultured bacterium
Lineage: Bacteria
Description: bacterial SSU rRNA
Rfam family: Bacterial small subunit ribosomal RNA
Source: RNAcentral